CCUACGGGUGGCUGCAGUGAGGAAUAUUGGUCAAUGGACGAGAGUCUGAACCAGCCAAGUAGCGUGAAGGAUGACUGCCCUAUGGGUUGUAAAUUUCUUUUAUAUGGUAAUAAAACAUUGUAUUCAUACCCUCUUGUAUGUACCUUAUGAAUAAGGAUCGGAUAACUCCGUGCCAGCAGCCGCGGUAAUACGGUAGAUCCGAGCGUUACCCGGAUUUAUUGGGUUUAAAGGGAUCGUAGGUGGAUUGUUAAGUCAGUUGUGAAAGUUUGCGGCUGAACCGUAAAAUUGCAGUUGAUACUGGCAGUCUAGAGUACAGUAGAGGUGGGCAGAAGUCGAGGUGUAGCGGUGAAAUGCUUAGAGAUCACGAAGAACUCCGAUUGCGAAGGCAGCUCACUGGACUGCAACUGACACUGAUGCUCGAAAGUGUGGGUAUCAAACAGGAUUAGAUACCCGUGUAGUC
RNAcentral lists this ribosomal RNA (460 nucleotides) under uncultured bacterium. RNAcentral describes it as "partial 16S ribosomal RNA". It matches the Rfam family "Bacterial small subunit ribosomal RNA", at positions 338 to 795 of the family's 1533-position model. The record is from RNAcentral.